Long non-coding RNA from Rhododendron vialii, 1465 nucleotides. RefSeq lists it as uncharacterized. The transcript has 2 exons. NCBI's taxonomy places the organism in Eukaryota, Viridiplantae, Streptophyta, Magnoliopsida, Ericales, Ericaceae. The record is from RefSeq and is a predicted model, not a curated record.
AAUUCCCUGAUUUCUUUACCAGUUGCCAGUAUAUAAUUUACGGUUUGGGGUAUGAUCCGGUUACUGUUGAUUAUAAGGUAGUGAGGUUUAUUCAGUUUUAUGGUCAAGAUGUUUGGGACUCUUUUGACUCGGAAGUUAAGGUCUAUAGCAUGAAGUCUAACUCGUGGCGAAGGAUCCAGGAUUUCCCAUAUUAUCUUCGUUACAAGCGAUGUUAUGGUGUGCUUGUUGGGAGCGCUUUACAUUGGGUUGUGAGUCGAAACCCUGAGUCAGAUACUGCUAAUUUGAUUGCUGCGUUUGAUCUCACCACUGAGGAGUACCUGUUAGUGCCGCAACCUGAAUUUUCUAGCAAGGAUUUUCAUAUGAAUAUAGGGGAGUUGGAAGGGUGUCUGUGCAUACUCUGCAAUUAUAUUCAAAAACGAGUUGAUGUGUGGGUGAUGAAGGAUUAUGGAGUGAAGGAGUCGUGGACGAAACUGUUUUCUGUUGCACAACCAGCAGUGAUUAGAUCUUUUGAAUUUGUAUUCCCUUAGCUUAUUCAAAGGGUGGUUGUGACGUCCUAUUGGUUCAAGACAAUAAGAAGCUUGUUUGGUAUGAUGUCGAACGUAAAAAAAUUAAGAACAUCAAGGCUCCUGGUAUACCAAAGUAUUUUGAAUCAUUUGUCUGUGUGGAAAGCCUUGUUCCACUCAGUGGGGGAGGUGAAACUUGUGGGAAGAGUCAUGACAUUAAAGGGAAGAAGAAGAAGAAUACACCAAAGAAGAAUGAGAAGAAGAGAGAUGAUUUCCUGUCGAAGGGGUUCAAACUGGUGCUUAAGGCAAGUGAAGGGAACUGGAAAUGAAGCGAGAAGUUAUAUUGGUAAGUAAAGUAUCUGCUUUGUGUGUCGUACACUGCUAUCAUCAUAUAUCCAAGUCAUCUUACCUACAUUGGGCGUGGCUUUCUUUCUGUUUCUAUUUUUUGUAUUUGUUAUUUUUGUUUGCUAUUGGUGGGAGGGCCUUGGCUAUAUUGGCUGGUGCAUCUAUAUCACAAGCUAUUGCAGUCUGAUUUUUUGAGCUGUAGGUAUAUAAGCAGAACCAAUUUGAAGAUGGAGUGGUGGGACAAUAUUGAAUUAUUGAUGCAUCUUGAACUUCUUUCUUCCUUACUCCUUAGUACUAACCUUGAGUGUAUCCUAUGCCCUUUCAUUCUUUUAUUGAUAAUAACAUCACUAAUUGUAUCCAUGUCAGGUUAAGUUGGAACAUUGGAGAGAUGUUACGAGUAGAUAAUCGAGCAUGUGACAUGUAACUGAGGAUUAGAGUUUCAAGGGAAAGAAAGAAAACUAAUGAAGGUUUCUCCGAAGAUCACAUUUAUGUUUCUAUCCUUGUAUUGUCGUGUAAGUAUUUGCUUAGAAGUACAGUGGACAAUUGUAGAAGUAACCUAUCCCUUUUUCAUCUGGUGAAAACGAUGAGCGAUGAAUACUUUGCCUAAUUUUACUUUG